UCAGGCCGCUGGCUGGCUCAGAGGUCUAAGCAGAGCAGAGAUGACUUCAUUCGUGCUGGGGAGUUAACACAGCUGGCAGAGCGCAGGGCAGACACGCCUGAGGUCCCGGUUCAAGGUCUGGCUCUCCGUGGGCCAGAGUGACGCUCUCCUCUUUCAGCUCCAGCGAUCCCUUCUUGAAAAGACUAGAGCGAGAGGCAGGAAGAACAUGGAAGAGACCACAUCAUCAGAUCCGCUGAAGCUUCCUCCUUUCCAUGCGGUGGGGCCCUGAUUGGAACCCGGGUCCAGCUCAUGGCCAAGCAGUGCACUGCCCAAGUCCUCCACUCUCCUCAUAUUACAGGAAUACAUAUUGCAGUCCUUCUGACGCCCAGCUCCAGAUGCAAGGCCCAGCUGUUUUUCAAG
This is a long non-coding RNA of Erinaceus europaeus (western European hedgehog), 399 nucleotides long. RefSeq lists it as uncharacterized. NCBI's taxonomy places the organism in Eukaryota, Metazoa, Chordata, Mammalia, Eulipotyphla, Erinaceidae. The transcript has 3 exons. The record is from RefSeq and is a predicted model, not a curated record.